Molecule: ribosomal RNA, 252 nt
Filed under: uncultured bacterium
Lineage: Bacteria
Description: partial 16S ribosomal RNA
Rfam family: Bacterial small subunit ribosomal RNA
Source: RNAcentral
GUCCACGCCGUAAACGAUGGUUACUAGCUGUUUGGACUUCGGUCUGAGUGGCUAAGCGAAAGUGAUAAGUAACCCACCUGGGGAGUACGUUCGCAAGAAUGAAACUCAAAGGAAUUGACGGGGGCCCGCACAAGCGGUGGAGCAUGUGGUUUAAUUCGAUGAUACGCGAGGAACCUUACCAGGGCUUAAAUGUAGUCUGACAGCUUUAGAGAUAGAGUUUUCUUCGGACAGAUUACAAGGUGCUGCAUGGUU